Molecule: ribosomal RNA, 301 nt
Filed under: uncultured bacterium
Lineage: Bacteria
Description: partial 16S ribosomal RNA
Rfam family: Bacterial small subunit ribosomal RNA
Source: RNAcentral
CAGCCGCCGCGGGAAUACAGAGGGUGCGAGCGUUAAUCGGAUUUACUGGGCGUAAAGCGUGCGUAGGCGGCUUCUUAAGUCGGAUGUGAAAUCCCUGAGCUUAACUUAGGAAUUGCAUUCGAUACUGGGAAGCUAGAGUAUGGGAGAGGAUGGUAGAAUUCCAGGUGUAGCGGUGAAAUGCGUAGAGAUCUGGAGGAAUACCGAUGGCGAAGGCAGCCAUCUGGCCUAAUACUGACGCUGAGGUACGAAAGCAUGGGGAGCAAACAGGAUUAGAUACCCCUGUAGUUCCUGUCUCUUAUAC